UACGGAGGAUGCGAGCGUUAUCCGGAUUUAUUGGGUUUAAAGGGUGCGUAGGCGGACUGUCAAGUCAGCGGUAAAAUUGAGAGGCUCAACCUCUUCCCGCCGUUGAAACUGGUGGUCUUGAGUGGAUGAGAAGUACGCGGAAUGCGUGGUGUAGCGGUGAAAUGCAUAGAUAUCACGCAGAACUCCGAUUGCGAAGGCAGCGUACCGGCAUCCAACUGACGCUGAGGCACGUAAGCGUGGGGAUCAAACAGG
RNAcentral lists this ribosomal RNA (252 nucleotides) under uncultured bacterium. RNAcentral describes it as "partial 16S ribosomal RNA". It matches the Rfam family "Bacterial small subunit ribosomal RNA", at positions 524 to 776 of the family's 1533-position model. The record is from RNAcentral.